UGGUGGUAGAAUCUGUUGAAGGAGAAGGAGGUGAUGAGACAUCCUCUUCUUCAGGUGAUUCUGCUGAGCUGGAGGAAUCUGAAGUAGGAGAUGAUGAUGGUGAGUUUCCCUUAGGUGGUGAUGAUGACUUGGGUGAUUGUGUGGGUGCACUUCCAUUGCUCUUACUUUUAGGUGCAGCUGCGGGGGAUGACGAUGGCGAUGAUGAUGAUGAUGAUGAUGAUGAUGGUGAUGAUGAUGGAGAUGAUGAUGGGGAUGAAGACGGUGAGCUGCUUGGUGAUGAGGCACAGGAAACCAACCCAACAAAGGCAACAAAGAGGAGAGCAACAACAAUCACUUGACGUGCCAUUUUUAUUUAGUG
RNAcentral lists this long non-coding RNA (358 nucleotides) under Solanum tuberosum (potato). Its description in RNAcentral is "long non-coding RNA (STUB_LNC011540)". The record is from RNAcentral. Lineage: Eukaryota; Viridiplantae; Streptophyta; Magnoliopsida; Solanales; Solanaceae.